CAGGGAAUAUUGCACAAUGGGCGAAAGCCUGAUGCAGCGACGCCGCGUGCGGGAUGAAGGCCUUCGGGUUGUAAACCGCUUUCAGGAGGGACGAAAAUGACGGUACCUCCAGAAGAAGGCCCGGCCAACUACGUGCCAGCAGCCGCGGUAAUACGUAGGGGCCAAGCGUUGUCCGGAUUUAUUGGGCGUAAAGGGCUCGUAGGCGGUUUGGUAAGUCAAUCGUGAAAUGUCGGGGCUCAACCCCGAGACUGCGGUCGAAACUGCCAUGACUAGGGUCCGGUAGAGGUGAGUGGAAUUCUCGGUGUAGCGGUGAAAUGCGCAGAUAUCGAGAGGAACACCAGUAGCGAAGGCGGCUCACUGGGCCGGUACCGACGCUGAGGAGCGAAAGCGUGGGGAGCAAACAGGAUUAGAUACCCCCGUAGUCC
RNAcentral lists this ribosomal RNA (425 nucleotides) under uncultured prokaryote. RNAcentral describes it as "bacterial SSU rRNA". It matches the Rfam family "Bacterial small subunit ribosomal RNA", at positions 355 to 796 of the family's 1533-position model. The record is from RNAcentral.